UUAAUGAGAGUUUGAUCCUGGCUCAGGACGAACGCUGGCGGCGUGCCUAAUACAUGCAAGUAGAACGCUGAGGUUUGGUGUUUACACUAGACUGAUGAGUUGCGAACGGGUGAGUAACGCGUAGGUAACCUGCCUCAUAGCGGGGGAUAACUAUUGGAAACGAUAGCUAAUACCGCAUAAGAGUAAUUAACACAUGUUAGUUAUUUAAAAGGAGCAAUUGCUUCACUGUGAGAUGGACCUGCGUUGUAUUAGCUAGUUGGUGAGGUAAAGGCUCACCAAGGCGACGAUACAUAGCCGACCUGAGAGGGUGAUCGGCCACACUGGGACUGAGACACGGCCCAGACUCCUACGGGAGGCAGCAGUAGGGAAUCUUCGGCAAUGGACGGAAGUCUGACCGAGCAACGCCGCGUGAGUGAAGAAGGUUUUCGGAUCGUAAAGCUCUGUUGUUAGAGAAGAACGUUGGUAGGAGUGGAAAAUCUACCAAGUGACGGUAACUAACCAGAAAGGGACGGCUAACUACGUGCCAG
This 527-nucleotide ribosomal RNA is filed under the name Streptococcus agalactiae. RNAcentral describes it as "bacterial SSU rRNA". It matches the Rfam family "Bacterial small subunit ribosomal RNA", at positions 1 to 511 of the family's 1533-position model. The record is from RNAcentral. Lineage: Bacteria; Bacillati; Bacillota; Bacilli; Lactobacillales; Streptococcaceae.